Molecule: non-coding RNA, 2916 nt
Organism: Salmo salar (Atlantic salmon)
Lineage: Eukaryota; Metazoa; Chordata; Actinopteri; Salmoniformes; Salmonidae
Source: RefSeq, a predicted model, not a curated record
CAUCAGACAAUAUUGGGCAAAAUAAAGUGACUAGACCUAUAUAUCAACUCAACAUUAGAUUUUAAAAUCAGCCAAAAAUCUCUGUUAAAUUCUCUGGAGAAAAAGCCCAUAUUGGACUUAAAUUUCCUUUAGAAAUGUCCAAGAUGAGAAUUAUCCUGCUUCUGUUCCUUUAAUAGGUUGAUGAACAUGCAAUAAUAAUGAAUGAAUCAAUAUCGAAUACAAAUAUCUCAAUAUUUAGUCUUCCAGUCGACCAUAGCCUAUAACAAAUACUAUUCUAGUGUCAUUUGGAUUUCAGCUAGAUCCCAGCGGGCAGAUGGAAAAUCAGCCUGUCAGGACAAACUGGAAUCUUCUCUGUUCUGUAUCUGCUGUGGGCUGCAGAAGACACUCAGUCAGCUCUGUCUCUCUCUCUCGCUCCCUCCCAACGCCUCAUUUCCCUGGGAGCCGUGUUUUGCAUCUCUCCCUAAUUUGCAUUUCUUCUUUAGAUAUUCCGUGCGACGGUCUAGCCGCUCGAAAUCAUAGAAUAAGGCGUAGCACCGCAGCAAUAUCUACAUGCUCCCGGCAUUUCCAAAGCAAUACGCACCGCGGAACCCAUUGGAAAAUUUGAAUAAUGUUGCCGAAGCUUUCCGAAAGGUGAAAUUGAGGAAUAUAUUUGGAUCAAUCCGUUUGGUUGCGCACUAGAGGAGACACAUGCCUUCGAGGUAAACAGACAGCAGGACUGGACAGCCAGAUAGUAGCCUAGGUUAUAUUGUUUUUCUCCUGCGUUAUAAGCGGUUACAAGCUGUUAUAACGCCACAGUAGUGGUCCUAAGGUCGAGCAGAGCUUCAAAUUUUUGGUUUGUUCGCCUUGGUUGGUUAUUGAGACGCAGUUGGAAAUGUCGGAAGUACUACAAGACGAAAUGAGUCAUUAUGGAGAUGAGGACGAUGAGGGACACCUUUCCUUCACCUGUCGCCUCCAAGACACCAACAACUUCUUCAGCGGCUCGCAGGGGGGCAAACGCCCGCCCAAACUUGGACAGAUAGGCAGAAGCAAACGAGUCGUCGAGGAUGAGAGCGGCGUUGACGAGGCGCAGAAAAACGGGACAGAGAAAACACAGACGGAGGCUUAAACACACCACCCCCGCCCCCCGAAAGACAUUGAUUCUCAUUUUCUAUUCGAAAUUAACAGUUUUAAUCCAAAGACACUGUAUAUAAGCACUUUUAUCCCAUAUGGCAGCAAGCACUUCUAGACCCUCUCCCAGUCCUCAUGAUGGUGAUCUCCUGGGACUUAUACUGGCAGGAUGGGGAAACAGCCAAGACAGAGAUGGAGACAGAGAAAGACACGGUGAUGGAUACAGACGCCCAGGUGAAUGCUGUCAUGCCAGGGUUUACGCCCAUAGAGCUUGUCUAAAACAGGGAUGACCAACGUUCUACCCAGAGAGCUAUUGGGUGAGCAGCAGGCUUUUGCUUCAGCCCUACACAUUUUACACUAGUCAAUUAUUGGUCGUAGAUAACUGCUAAGCAGGUCGACCAACAAAUGUAGCAGUCUAAAAACUGUCUUUUCAUGGUCCUGGGUAGCAGCUAAUUCGUAGCAUUAGGUGUAUUAGAGUAGGGAUGGAUCAAAACCCUGCCGGAGGGGAUAGCUCUCAAGGAGGAGGGUCUAAACCAUGUGACCAGGAGAGGAUGCUGUCGAACAAAUGCAGAAAUCAGGGAACAAACUAUAGAAAUGAUCUAAUAAACUAAAGCACACACACACUCUCUUAUAUCAAUCAAACCAUAUGAUAUUACAUUACCAUUCUUUCUGCUCUUGAUUCUUCUGAUGACGAGUGCAAACAAAUAAAUAAUAUAAAUAACUUGUAAAUAAGGAAUGGUACAGAUGUAGGAUCUUAAUUUGAUCACCCUGUUGCAGUAAAACUUGUAUUGUAUUUGAGGUUUAAAAAGGCAUCUGGAGUUAGUAAUUUCCACUUUGAAAUUUCAGACAUGAUUUUCCCUUAUGAGAAAUGCAUCAAACCCUACAAAUGUCCAUUAAUUAUAAUCCACAUAAUAGCAUACUGGCUCAAAUUAAGAUCCCUACAUCUGCAGCCCCACGUUCUGUUAGCCUGGGUGCCAGUCGGUUUCUGCUCUCUUGUCAACUCCUUGUGGAAUUGUCAUGUUUGGCGUGACAAUUGGUCGUGAUGUGGACCUGGCAAGACAGCACGAACAGAUCUGAGACCAGGCUAACGUUUUGUUGCACAACGGAGAAAAGAAGCAGUGAAAUGGUUUGUUGUAAUCUAACGUAAUGUGUCUGUAUAAAGAGACCUUAUUUAUUAACCCUUUGGAGAAGUCUUUUGCAGUGCUCAAGGCCUGACUGAGGGAGAGUUUUGUAUGUAGAGAAUUACGAUGACAGAAUUAAUGAAGUGAUUUUUCCUUUUUUUACUUCUUAUAAAUUUUGAUGUCGCCUGAUCAGUUUUUGUUACCAUCCUGAGAAUCUAUAGAGUCAUUUAUACACAUUAUACAGUACUGUACAUCACUUGUUCGUAAGGCAUCAAAAGGCCUAAAGUCUGGAUUGUUAAAUAUAUCCCUAUUGAUAAACUAUUUAUAUUGCAUUGCGCAUUAUCAUGUGUGCCAAAUAUCAUGAGGGAUAACCAGACAACAUGGUUGCUUAUGUUGUGCUUUCUAUACGUUUAAUUGUAACAAUUUUGUUAUUCUUCUGUUUUUGCCAUUGUUCAGGGCUUUUUCUUACCACUGAAUUACCAACUGAUGCAUGGCAGAAAUGGAAUCAUGCAUGCAUGGUAAUGUUCUGAAGAUGAUCUAGUGUAUUCCAGAACACCUCCUAUACCACUUUGAAUGACUAUCCUCCAGAACAGUCUUAAUAUGACGUACGUUGUACUGUGCUGUACUAUUAUCUCACUGAUUUGUACAGUAGUCUAAUAUCUUGUAAUAAAGAUUCUGAAGAAGUUAA